GUGUAAUUUUCCGUAAUAAGAAACGUUAUAUGGAUUUUUCGAUGCCCCAUUUUCUGUUUCUCCCGCAUGCCAACUUCUACACCAUUAAUAUUAGUGCUUUUGAUUCUAACAUGAUAACAGUCUAAUAUACUCAUAAGAAAUAAAACACAUUUACUGUUUCUGUGAGAUCUUCAACAAAAUAUCGUAUAGUGAGCAAUCUCAAGACGACUUACCCUUUUGGUGUUACUAAUAUAAUGCAUGUCAAUUAUCAUUUUUAUUAUCAUUUAUCAUCCAUGAUUUUGUUCGGGUCAGAUUUUCUGUCAUUUUUUUACAGCACAGAAAACCAAUGAUAUUUAUAAAAUAAUACCAAAAAUUAAGGUACACGAAGAAGUAAACUUCCUAACUGAACAAUUCAUUCAAUUUAUUUAUGUUGGGUAAAUAAUGGUAUGUCGCUAAUAUUAACAAUGAUACAACUUUAAUAAAAGAACAAAGUUCCUAUCAAGUUCCUCUACGUAGUACGGUUUUUAUCUAACAAAAGGCAAUAGCAUACAAUAUUUUUAUACACCCGUAAAAAUUUGACGGGACGUAUUAUGUAUACAAAUGUCCGGCGUCCGUCUGUCCUUCGUAAACAUGGUACAGCAUAUUUAUACAUCACGUUGCGGAGGAUAUAAUGUUUUGACCCGUU
Molecule: long non-coding RNA, 664 nt
Filed under: Mytilus galloprovincialis (Mediterranean mussel)
Lineage: Eukaryota; Metazoa; Mollusca; Bivalvia; Mytilida; Mytilidae
Source: RNAcentral